Microcebus murinus (gray mouse lemur) is the source of this 1570-nucleotide long non-coding RNA. Lineage: Eukaryota; Metazoa; Chordata; Mammalia; Primates; Cheirogaleidae. The record is from Ensembl.
AAUUGGAAAGACUUCAGCAAUAGUCAUGUAUACAUUUUUUUACAAAACAGGUCUUGCCGUCUCAAAACCAGAGCUGAUCACAUGCCUGGAGCAAAGGAUAGAGCCCUGGAUUAUGAAGAAAGAGGAAACAUCAGCUAAAUAUCCAGGCAAAGAUUACACCAGUUUGAUUGAAAAUAGACAUGGCCAUGGUUUGUACCGGGAAUUUGCAAGACAGGGACAGACUUUAGACUGAGGAUGUACCAAAAUCUCAGGGCAGACAUAUGCUGCAGUGUAAGAGAUCAACAUGGACUUGUAAGUUGACUUUGAAAGGACCUUUUUGGGUGAGUGUAAACAAUUUUCUAGAUCUUGUGUAAUGUCGUAUUAUAGUUGUGUGUGAAGAAUAGAAAGGCUGGCACCACAUCUAAAUUUUUCUGUAAAUUAUUGGACACUUACUAGCCACCUUUUGUGGAAUAAUAAGGAUUAAAUCACACAACGUAAAGGCUUCUGAUUAGGCAACAAACCAUACUUUGGACCACAUAGCACAUGCUCAGUAGACAUUGCAUUAUGCUGCUCUUCACUUUGGAAAUUAAGUAUAUGUUGUGAUGAGUGUUGGGCAAAAGGCAGUAUGUAUGCUGUGCUUGCUGUCUCUACCUGAGUGCUACUAAUAAUGGAUCUAGUUUGAGCAACUUCAGCACUAAAAUGGACCUGACAAAGAACCCAAUGAAUGUACCUCUUCGACACAAGCAGAUCUCAUUUCUUAGAGUGAGGCCAACAUUACCACAUGAUUUAUAUUCACAUUGAUGUUUCAGAGACAAUUUUAAGGUAAUUACCUCUCAUCCCAGGCUUUCAAUUAGGAUAACCUGGGUAGAUUGAAGAAACACCAUCACCUGCCUGUUGGGCUGAAUGAGAACAUCUAUGUGGUUUUAAUUGUGCCCCAAAUAAUUCUAAUUUGAUACCAGGUUCAAACAUUAGGACUCCUGCAUAUAUUCGUGAGAAUUGAGUCUAGCUUUGUUUUAGAGGGAAGUCAUAGGUUCUGCUCUCUUGGGUUUGCCAGAGGCAGAUCAUUGUGUUCCUGAUUCCCAUUCUUGUAGCAGAAAAUCCUGGGAUCUGUAGCAGGGUGAGGUAACCAGAAGAAAAGACAGGAGAAUCUCACAUUUUGGUCUCCAUGAAAGAGCUGAUCAUAGCUGAAUCUUCCCUUUCAGUAAGAACAAGUGAGUGUAGCCUUUCUUCAUUUUGUGUUCCUCCUGCUUGUGAAUCUUGUGGAAACAAGGGAAGAAAUUGUGCUGACUUCCUUCAGGGCAAUCUGAAGAUGUAAUUCUAAUUGUUCUACACUAUCUCACCUGAAAAGAGAUUUCAGAGUAGGAGACGAGGGAGCAGAAAUGGCUGGUUUUCGGGUAAGUGUGUCCCAGAUUAGGGGUUGUGUCCACUAUUUCUCCUAGAAAGUCUUGUAGAACUUCAAUUUUUUGAAUUUAUAAACCUUUACUUCUUUACUUCUCAUGUGUAUGACUAAUAAGUUUUAUAAGUAAAUUUUUUUAUUUCUUCUUAUGAUAAUCAAGGAGCUUUGGAAAAUCCUUUAUCCCUAUUUAACAGA